GAUCAAAAUAAGCUUAAUUAUACUCACAUGAAAACUUGGCUUUUCAGUAGCUGUUACAAAAUAUUACAGUAAUCCAGAUAAAUCUGUGCUCCAUCAUUCUGAUGGAGGACAGGAAACAUCCAAAAAUGAGGACAAACGCUACACACAUAGCACAAACAAGAAACUGUACACAGCUCGAAUAAACACAUGCCUCUAGCAUAUGCCUGAAAUCCUGAAACUGUUUCACAUCCAAGGACUCCAUUGUAUUAACAUUAAAAAAAAUAAUAAAAAUAAAUACAAUACUAACUCAUGCCUAUGCAUGAAGCGGGGAUGCAGAAGGCCGUGGAUAUGCAAUGCGUCCACCAUUGUUCUCCUUGUGAGUAAUUGGAUUGUUCUCUUUUUUAUUUGAUUCUUGAAGCUCCUCCAAUGCUUUUACCACCUCAUCCAUAUUUGGUCUGAGCUUUGGUUCAUCUACGCAUUGAAGUGCAAGGUUAGCCAACUUUUGUGCCCGACUGAGGGAGUACUGACCAUUAAGACGUGUGUCCAGUACACGGAAAAUUCUGCGUUUGUUUGUCAGGUAAGGUUUUGCCCACUCCACCAGGUUAUGUUGCCCAGAAGGCCUAUUCUUGUCUAUAGCUCGCAGGCCAGAUAACAUUUCUAGAAGUACAACUCCAAAACUGUAUACAUCGCUCUUUGCAGUCAAAUGGCCUGUGGCCACAUACUCUGGUGCAGCAUAUCCAUAAGUUCCCAUGACUCUAGUAGAGACAUGACUCUUAUCCCCAGUUGGUCCAUCCCUGGCUAAACCAAAAUCAGAAAGCUUUGCAUUGUAGUUUGAAUCAAGUAGUAUAUUAGAAGUCUUAAAAUCCCGAUAUAUGACUUCAGCUCUAUGAAGAAAUGCAAGCCCUCUUGCAGCACCAAGAGCCACUUUCAUGCGAAUGUUCCAAGAAAGUGGCUGGAAAUGAGACCCUCUCCUAAAUAGAUGAUUCUCCAUACUGCCACGGGGCAUGAAUUCAUAAACCAAAAGUCGAUGGUCAUCCUCAAAGCAGUAACCAACCAACUUAACAAGAUUAAGAUGUUGCAAUUGCCCAAGAUAGUUGAUCUCCGCCAGCCAUUCCCUGUGACCCUGGAACCCUUCUUGUUUAAGCCUCUUCACAGCAAUCACCAUGCCAGAACCAGGCCUUGUAGCAGUAAGUGAAUGCUCAUCAAUCCACCCUUUGAAAACUGAUCCAAAGCCACCUUCUCCUAGUACACUAUCUGGUCGGAAGUUUCUAGUGGCAUUCUUCAGCUCAUUGAAGCUAAAGUUCUUUAAAUUUGCUGCCUGCAAGAUCUCACCCUCACUUCGAGGAGUUUGGGGUACAGAAGCUGAUGAGACCUUGCUACUCAAAUUCUUUCCAUCUCUGCUGGAAUUUUUUGAAUUCAGCCCUACAUAAUCAAUAAACAAUUAAAUUAAAUUCAUUAAAAGUAGUUUGCAUUAAAACACAAAAGUGUUCUUUUCAGUGCCCAAUUUCUAACACAGACUUGCCCACAUUUAAGUCCUUCCGAGUAGUAUGAACAUGAUAUGCAAUCUCACAGAACAUCUUUCUUAAUUCAAAUUUUAUUUAAGAAUGAUUUUAUUAAUGUCAGAACCCUACAAUAUGUCUCAAGCUAAGGCUAACUCCAGAGAGCCAAAAUCUUGGUUACUCAUCAUAAGACUAACAAAUUUUUACAACUACUGAUAGAAUCCUAGGGAGGUUAUCAUAUAAUCAACUAAAGAAAGAUAACCAUACAAAUUUAUCUUAAAAACUGAAAAAAAAAAUGAUAAUAAAGCUAUACAUGUCCUGCCAAGAACCUAAUGUGCAUGUGAAAGCCAUAGCAAUACAGAUUAGACAACAUCCUCAGCAGCCAAUACGCAGGGAAAUACAUGAGAACCAAUAAAAAGAACAGCUCAAGCAUCUAUUGAUAAAAAAAAUAAUAUAAAAUAAAGACAAUUCAAUCUUAAUCAAGCAAAAUCAAUAACAGCUAAUUGCAAAAACAUAGACACACACACAGAGUCAGCAACCAAACCAGUAUUAGAAGGAGUAUAAGCCUUGAUUCGAUUGCUAAAGCAGAGUCCCAUCAAAACAAACGCUUCAGAACUUCAAUAUUGCAAUUACAAAAGCCAAACUCAAAUCAAACAAAGAGAAAGCUCAGAUCUUUGUAUUAAAAAAAAAAAAUUCCUCUUUUCCUGUUUAAAAAUGGGAUACAAAAACAAAAAGAAAAAGACCACUUAGAGCUAACUUAAUAGGCAAUAGUUACAGAGGAAAUGGAAGAUUUUGGUGGGUUGGUUUUGGUACUGGAAAUGAGAGAAGGGAAGAUUCAAUUGAAGGAAGCAAGAAAAGGAGUCUAUGAGAUGACAAAAUGUUUAAUUUCUUGAUGGCCUUUUUAGACCCUCGCCAACCAUGGACGGUUGACUCGCUUUUUUGAGCUCUUUUGUCCUUUUU
This 2438-nucleotide unclassified non-coding RNA is filed under the name Hevea brasiliensis (rubber tree). The record is from RNAcentral. Lineage: Eukaryota; Viridiplantae; Streptophyta; Magnoliopsida; Malpighiales; Euphorbiaceae.